This 253-nucleotide ribosomal RNA is filed under the name uncultured bacterium. RNAcentral's name for it is "partial 16S ribosomal RNA". It matches the Rfam family "Bacterial small subunit ribosomal RNA", at positions 524 to 776 of the family's 1533-position model. The record is from RNAcentral.
UACGUAGGUGGCGAGCGUUAUCCGGAAUGAUUGGGCGUAAAGGGUGCGUAGGCGGACUUUUAAGUGAGAUGUGAAAUACUCGGGCUCAACUUGAGUGCUGCAUUUCAAACUGGAAGUCUAGAGUGCAGGAGAGGAGAAUGGAAUUCCUAGUGUAGCGGUGUAAUGCGUAGAGAUUAGGAAGAACACCAGUGGCGAAGGCGAUUCUCUGGACUGUAACUGACGCUGAGGCUCGAAAGCGUGGGGAGCAAACAGG